AGGAAUAAGCAUCGGCUAACUCCGUGCCAGCAGCCGCGGUAAUACGGAGGGUGCGAGCGUUAAUCGGAAUUACUGGGCGUAAAGCGCAUGCAGGUGGUUUGUUAAGUCAGAUGUGAAAGCCCGGGGCUCAACCUCGGAAUUGCAUUUGAAACUGGCAGACUAGAGUACUGUAGAGGGGGGUAGAAUUUCAGGUGUAGCGGUGAAAUGCGUAGAGAUCUGAAGGAAUA
RNAcentral lists this ribosomal RNA (227 nucleotides) under uncultured bacterium. RNAcentral's name for it is "partial 16S ribosomal RNA". It matches the Rfam family "Bacterial small subunit ribosomal RNA", at positions 482 to 708 of the family's 1533-position model. The record is from RNAcentral.